AACUGAUAUGCCCUUCAUACACAGAUGUUUUUAUUUAUCCCCAAUUGAGGAAUUUGUGACAUGGUAUUAUUCAUUUUCCCUCUCUGAUAACAUAGUGGAUAAAACCCACAGUCUCAAAGGUUUCAAUUUUCCAUGAAAAUUACUGUGUGUACAUUUGUGGUUUUAUAUACACACACAUAUGGCAAAUACAUAUACACACACAAUCUUUAGUGCUAAUGCAAGUUGGAUAUGAAAAAAA
Molecule: long non-coding RNA, 238 nt
Filed under: Bos taurus (domestic cattle)
Lineage: Eukaryota; Metazoa; Chordata; Mammalia; Artiodactyla; Bovidae
Description: long non-coding RNA NONBTAT024683
Source: RNAcentral